GACGUAGGGUCCAAGCGUUGUCCGGAUUUACUGGGCGUAAAGAGCGCGUAGGCGGUCUGUUAAGUGCACGAGUGAAAUCCCGGGGCUCACCUCCGGAACUGCUCUGCAUACUGGCAGACUUGAGGGUCGAAGAGGUUUGUGGAAUUCCUGGUGUAGCGGUGAAAUGCGUUGAUAUCAGGAGGAACACCCAUGGCGAAGGCAGCAAACUGGUCGGCAUCUGACGCUGAGGCGCGAAAGCGUGGGUAGCAAACAGG
This 254-nucleotide ribosomal RNA is filed under the name uncultured bacterium. Its description in RNAcentral is "partial 16S ribosomal RNA". It matches the Rfam family "Bacterial small subunit ribosomal RNA", at positions 524 to 776 of the family's 1533-position model. The record is from RNAcentral.